RNAcentral lists this transfer-messenger RNA (373 nucleotides) under bacterium. RNAcentral describes it as "Calescibacterium sp002898315 X1 Standard tmRNA". It matches the Rfam family "transfer-messenger RNA". Rfam says of the family: Bacterial tmRNA, also known as 10Sa RNA or SsrA, is named for its dual tRNA and mRNA-like properties. Its role is to liberate the mRNA from a stalled ribosome. RNAcentral also lists the same sequence under 2 other names. The record is from RNAcentral.
GGGGGUGAAAAUGGGCUUUGACGGUACCGAAAAGGAGGGCAGGGCUUCCCCGAAGUGCCCUGAAAAGGGGUGCGGGUCUUCUCCCGCCUUAAAGGGGAGAAAAAGGUUGCCGUUCCAGCUGCUAAUGUUCUCCCCGCAUAAAUGGGGAGACGUUCUCGGAUUCCUUUGCUCCUCGGGAACCGAGGGCGUGAACGAGAGGAGCUCUUCAAGAUACCUCGUCCGCGGGUAUCUUGAGAAAUCAAAACGCGGACCCGGAGGUAAAAUCCCUUGCGGAGGAGGGAUUUAUCUCCUAAACUAUAUCCUCCGCUACGCGGGGUAAAACCCCUGCUUCUCCCGGUGCCGGACGGGGGUUCAAAUCCCCCCACCUCCACCA